This 354-nucleotide ribosomal RNA is filed under the name uncultured bacterium. RNAcentral describes it as "bacterial SSU rRNA". It matches the Rfam family "Bacterial small subunit ribosomal RNA", at positions 917 to 1268 of the family's 1533-position model. The record is from RNAcentral.
GGGCCCGCACAAGCGGUGGAGCAUGUGGUUUAAUUCGAUGCAACGCGAAGAACCUUACCUGGUCUUGACAUACACAGAAUCUUGUAGAGAUACGAGAGUGCCUUCGGGAAUUGUGAUACAGGUGCUGCAUGGCUGUCGUCAGCUCGUGUCGUGAGAUGUUUGGGUUAAGUCCCCGCAACGAGCGCAACCCUUGUCCUUAGUUACCAGCGGGUUAAGCCGGGAACUCUAAGGAUACUGCCAGUGACAAACUGGAGGAAGGCGGGGACGACGUCAAGUCAUCAUGGCCCUUACGACCAGGGCUACACACGUGCUACAAUGGUAGGUACAGAGGGCAGCUACACAGCGAUGUGAUGC